Gossypium raimondii (Peruvian cotton) is the source of this 2338-nucleotide long non-coding RNA. RefSeq lists it as uncharacterized. Lineage: Eukaryota; Viridiplantae; Streptophyta; Magnoliopsida; Malvales; Malvaceae. The transcript is spliced from 4 exons. The record is from RefSeq and is a predicted model, not a curated record.
CCAUUUUACCCCUAAAUACUUUUCUAAAAUUCUUUUUUUUUCUUCGUUUGAUCUCUCUACCUUUUUUGUUGGCCCUUUGGCGUGGAAGAACCUAAUGUUCUCCAAUUUUCGGUAACAGAGCACCGUACGAGGUGGUCGAAAACAUAUCUUUUUUUAACCAAAACCUUUCAUUUUUCUUCGUCUUAUUUUCUUUUGAAAAUUAUUUCCAAAACCCUUCUGUUUUACUUUUUAUUCUAAAAUAAAUCCCAUUUUUAAAAAAAGAAAAGAAAAGAAAUUUGAAUUCCCUUUUUCUUUGUGGAUCUAGUGAGAUUAGAAGCAAAAAAAAUCCCAUCGUGAUUAGGGUUUAAAAACUCUAGGAUUUUGCAUUCAUCAGGGUCUUCUCAGCUUCUUCUCUAUUGAAAUCGAAUAAAAAAAAAUCCUUUUUUAGUCAAAAAAAUUUAUUUUCCUUGCUCACAUCUUUCUCAAGCACACACCAAAAAUAACAAAAAAAAAAAAAAAAAACCCUUGGUGGGUGCCUGUGUAUUUUAUGUAUUCUGACUUCUAAGAUGGUAUAUUUUGUGUGUGGUGUUUUUCCUAUCUGUGUGUUCUCUUUUUUAUAGAUUAGCAAAAUAAAAUUGAAUCUUCAAAAAUAUAUACUUUUUAAUUUGGUUUUCUCCCAGGAAGAUAAACCGAUUAAAUAUAUAAUUAUAAAAAUACAUAAUAACUACUAAUUAAUCCCCGCGGUCUCAAACCAAUUGUUUCAAAACCCUAAGGGGGCGUUUGGUUGGGGGAAUAGGCAUGCAUUCCCCCUAUUUUGCUGGGCGUUUGGUUGCCCGUAAUGCUAUUACGGCCCGAUUCGGUUACGGGGCUCUUACCUCCAUUGGCUGUAAUAGCCAUUCCCCUCAUUGAAGUGGCGAUUAGGGAUUCCGCCCUUGUUUCCUAUUUUCUAUUCCAUUCUCUGCCCUCAUCUACCUUCCGUUCCAUCAAUUCUCCGACGUUUCCCUUCAAGAGUCAUGAAAUACUGGUAAUGCCCCUUAGAUAAUAAUCGAAGCAUACAAACAGAUAGAGACUAAAGAGAGUAAUUACCACUCCUAACUCAUCUGGAUACAACCCACGGUUUGAGAGCCGGCUUUCCCUUCCAAUUUCGGCACGUUUCCCUUCCAUUUUGCAAGACAUUUAUUGUUUUGUGCAGCUAAAUCAGCUAAUGUAGAGAAGGAGAUGAAACAAGUAAACAUUAAACCAAGUCUUGAUGUCCGCCUUAGUGAUUUGAAGCUUGUUUUAGGACCAGAACUGAGGAUAGUUUAUCCUUUGAUUCUAAACUUUACUGUUAGUGGGGAACUCGAGUUGAAUGGCCAAGCUCAUCCCAAAUGGAUUAAACCCAAGGGCAUUUUAACAUUUGAGAAUGGUGAUGUGAAUCUUGUUGCAACUCAACUAAGAUCUCCUGUGCGUUCACAUUACUCUUCUACAUUAACAUUUAAUGAAUUAUUAUUCGUAAAUGAUGAUCAAAUAAUUUCUUGUUUUUGCUUUAUACAAUGAAUUAGCCUGUGUGUUAAGGAAGGAUAAAGUUAGACCAUUCAGAAACUGAAAUAUUUUUCUUCCCCAUGCUGUGCAAAUUUGCUUGAUACGGAAUGAGAAAGUUGAAUCUAUCAUAUAGUUUACUUUUUGCCAAUUGUGCUCCAUCGGUCUAACAACGUAGUUGUCCAGUGUAGUAGGGAAUGCAUAAGGUUAGCCGGCAUAAGCCAGAUGGAGGCUAGUGUAUGCCCCACAAAUCCCUAGUCUGCUCUCUGUUGAUCCUACGGCUGAUCCUCUCAAAUCUUUAGCCAGUAAUAUAUCCUUCGGUACAGAAGUUGAAGUCCAGCUUGGUAAACGUCUGCAGGCCUCCAUAGUUAGGCAGUUGAAAGACUCAGAGAUGGCUAUGCAAUGGACCUUGAUUUACCAGCUUACAAGUCGGCUACGUGUGAUCCUACAAUCUGCUCCUUCCAAACGCCUUCUUUUCGAGUAUUCUGCUACCUCGCAAGACAAACCCAUGAUCGUGCUUUUCUCUUUUUUUGCCAAACCUGCUAUCUGCCACCGGCCAGCUAAAACUGGGCCUGUAUGGGUAAAAGUUGCCUACCUUUGAAGUUGAAAGGAGAACAAAAGAGGUGUAAGGAAAGGGUGGUAGUUUUUUUCAUUAAAAUGUAGAGGUAGUUUUUUUUUUUGGCCAAAAUAAAGGUAGGUUUUUUGUUACUUAUUCUUUGCUGGGAAAAUUCCAUGAACUUGCUUAUGUUUUAUCUUUCAUCUUUGUACAGAUGUAUAUAUAAUAUAGAAUAUCAUAGUUUCUUCAAGUGGAAAAUCAAUGGUAUUUCGUUUUUAAAUGUAA